RNAcentral lists this ribosomal RNA (505 nucleotides) under uncultured bacterium. Its description in RNAcentral is "bacterial SSU rRNA". It matches the Rfam family "Bacterial small subunit ribosomal RNA", at positions 21 to 518 of the family's 1533-position model. The record is from RNAcentral.
GGCUCAGGACGAACGCUGGCGGCGUGCUUAACACAUGCAAGUCGAACGGGGAUCAUCGGGCGGAAGGCUUCGGCCGGAAGGCUGGUGAUUCUAGUGGCGGACGGGUGAGUAACGCGUGAACAAUCUGUCCCAGACAGGGGGAUAACACUUGGAAACAGGUGCUAAUACCGCAUGAGACCACGGUGUCGCAUGGCACAGAGGUAAAAGGAGUAAUCCGGUUUGGGGUGAGUUCGCGUCCGAUUAGCCAGUUGGCGGGGUAACGGCCCACCAAAGCGACGAUCGGUAGCCGACCUGAGAGGGUGAUCGGCCACAUUGGAACUGAGAGACGGUCCAAACUCCUACGGGAGGCAGCAGUGGGGAAUAUUGGGCAAUGGGCGAAAGCCUGAACCCCAGCAACGCCGCGUGAGUGAAGAAGGCCUUCGGGUUGUAAAGCUCUGUUAUAGGGGACGAAGUGCGUGACGGUACCCUAUAAGGAAGCCCCGGCUAACUACGUGCCAGCAGCUGC